This 292-nucleotide ribosomal RNA is filed under the name uncultured bacterium. RNAcentral's name for it is "partial 16S ribosomal RNA". It matches the Rfam family "Bacterial small subunit ribosomal RNA", at positions 505 to 796 of the family's 1533-position model. The record is from RNAcentral.
GUGUCAGCCGCCGCGGUAAUACGGAGGGUGCAAGCGUUAUCCGGAAUCACUGGGUUUAAAGGGUGCGUAGGUGGCAUCGUAAGUCAGAAGUGAAAGUUUGCGGCUUAACCGUAAAAUUGCUUUUGAUACUGCAAUGCUUGAAUCAGGUUGAGGUUGGCGGAAUGUGGCAUGUAGCGGUGAAAUGCUUAGAUAUGCCAUAGAACACCGAUUGCGAAGGCAGCUGACUGGACCUGUAUUGACGCUGAGGCACGAAAGCGUGGGGAGCGAACAGGAUUAGAUACCCGGGUAGUCC